This 253-nucleotide ribosomal RNA is filed under the name uncultured bacterium. Its description in RNAcentral is "partial 16S ribosomal RNA". It matches the Rfam family "Bacterial small subunit ribosomal RNA", at positions 524 to 776 of the family's 1533-position model. The record is from RNAcentral.
UACGAAGGGUGCAAGCGUUAAUCGGAAUUACUGGGCGUAAAGCGUGCGCAGGCGGCUUUGCAAGACAGAUGUGAAAUCCCCGGGCUCAACCUGGGAAGUGCAUUUGUGACUGCAAGGCUAGAGUACGGCAGAGGGGGAUGGAAUUCCGCGUGUAGCAGUGAAAUGCGUAGAUAUGCGGAGGAACACCAAUGGCGAAGGCAAUCCCCUGGGCCUGUACUGACGCUCAUGCACGAAAGCGUGGGGAGCAAACAGG